This 660-nucleotide ribosomal RNA is filed under the name Natrinema thermotolerans. RNAcentral describes it as "bacterial SSU rRNA". It matches the Rfam family "Archaeal small subunit ribosomal RNA", at positions 54 to 714 of the family's 1478-position model. Lineage: Archaea; Methanobacteriati; Methanobacteriota; Halobacteria; Halobacteriales; Natrialbaceae. The record is from RNAcentral.
CCAGGUUGCACGAGUUCAGACUCGUAGCAGAUAGCUCAGUAACACGUGGCCAAACUACCCUAUGGAUCCGAAUAACCUCGGGAAACUGAGGCUAAUUCGGAAUACGAUUCACCACCUGGAGUGGUGUGAAUCCGAAACGCUCCGGCGCCAUAGGAUGUGGCUGCGGCCGAUUAGGUAGACGGUGGGGUAACGGCCCACCGUGCCCAUAAUCGGUACGGGUUGUGAGAGCAAGAGCCCGGAGACGGUAUCUGAGACAAGAUACCGGGCCCUACGGGGCGCAGCAGGCGCGAAACCUUUACACUGCACGCGAGUGCGAUAAGGGGACUCCAAGUGCGAGGGCAUAUAGUCCUCGCUUUUUGCGACCGUAAGGUGGUCGCGGAAUAAGUGCUGGGCAAGACCGGUGCCAGCCGCCGCGGUAAUACCGGCAGCACGAGUGAUGACCGCUAUUAUUGGGCCUAAAGCGUCCGUAGCUGGCCGUGCAAGUCCAUCGGGAAAUCCGCGCGCUUAACGCGCGGGCGUCCGGUGGAAACUGCAUGGCUUGGGACCGGAAGACCAGAGGGGUACGUCCGGGGUAGGAGUGAAAUCCCGUAAUCCUGGACGGACCACCGGUGGCGAAAGCGCCUCUGGAAGACGGAUCCGACGGUGAGGGACGAAAGCUCG